This 116-nucleotide ribosomal RNA is filed under the name Candidatus Schmidhempelia bombi str. Bimp. The record is from RNAcentral. Lineage: Bacteria; Pseudomonadati; Pseudomonadota; Gammaproteobacteria; Orbales; Orbaceae.
UCUGGCGGCAUUAGCGCGGUGGUCCCACCUGACCCCAUGCCGAACUCAGAAGUGAAACGCCGUAGCGCCGAUGGUAGUGUGGGGACACCCCAUGUGAGAGUAGGACACCGCCAGAC